GGGGUCGUAGUUCAGAUGGCUAGAACACUGCAUUCGCAUUGCAGAGGUCGUGGGUUCGAUUCCCGCCGACUCCA
RNAcentral lists this transfer RNA (74 nucleotides) under Patescibacteria group bacterium. RNAcentral's name for it is "tRNA-Ala". It matches the Rfam family "tRNA". Rfam says of the family: Transfer RNA (tRNA) molecules are approximately 80 nucleotides in length. The record is from RNAcentral.